GUGGUGUUGGAGACGGACCCCUUAGAUUUCGGGGCGGCUGGAAAGAGCUGCGGCCGUUCGGCGGCAAAGUAGGGGGGAAAAAAAGGUGACGGUACCUCGAGGUGCCGAACCGCCAUGACUAGCCGCCGCCGCCUCGGCGUUAUUCCCGGGGGCGGGGCCGCAGAGCAAGAAUAAAUGUUUUAGAAACAAAUAAUGGAACAAUGUUUGAAAAAAGAAUGUAUAGGCUACCUGGGUGCAAUUGAAGAAGACACUUGAAAGAGCAUACAAAGAAAAAACCUCAUUCAUUCAGACUACAAAUAUGCAGAAAGAAAACAACACUGAUAUAUAUCAAAUGAUGGAGCUGGGAUCUACUAGAACUUGAAUUGUCUUUGUCUCAUUUAUUUUGUGGUUAUUGGAUUGUUUAAAGCACAGACAUUGGCUUUUUUCUUCCCCUUUCCACAUUACUGUGUAAACAUGGGACUAAUAUUUCAUUUUCAUUUUACCUUACUUAAUAAUCUACUCAUUUCAUAUUUUAUAAACAGUCACCAUUUCAUUUGCACUAAUGGUAAUAAAUUUUUCUUUCCAUUUGCAUGUCUAGCUAUAAACUGCUCUUCUGUUAGCAAAUCCAAUUUCUUAAAUUACUGUAACUGAAAUCCCAAAUGGUUCUAGAUUAAAAGUACUUUUUUUAGGGAGCCAGAAAAUUAAGAACUCAUAUUUUUAGUGAACACACUAACCCAGACAUUGAUAAGAACCAUAGACCAUAAAGAGCUAAAGAAAAGGUGGCAUGACCUCACUGAAGGAAGGGGAGAAGAAAAGGGAAGGGUGGUGCUGGCAGGGACCAAGCAGGACAUUCCAGAGAGGCAAUUGAGUCCAAUGAGAACCCAGCAAGGCAGGAUUCCAGAUUGGCUGCUGUAACAAAAACGCCAUAGUGGUGAAAACACUGUCUGCCUCUAGAUACACCACUGGGUUUUAAAUAUAUGAAAUGAUGCCAAAAUAAGAGUACAUGCCAAGGCUAUCUCAGUCUCCUCUCAUUUCCACAAUGUCACAGUUGGGCAAAUAGCCACAAGGGCACAGGUGGUAGAAAUGAAUUAGGGAGAAAAAUUUGGAGUUUAGAUAACAGGGUGACCCAUAACUUUAAUCACUAAAAUAUUUCACUUCUCAUGAGUAAGACAUUCUUAUUUCACCCUCUUGAAAAUUAGCAGAAUAAUUCAACUAUAUGGCCAAAGUUUAUAUAAUAUCUAUAAAAGAUGCAAUAAAUAUUUAUUCAAUUCCUAAACUUUCCUUGUAUAUGGGACUUGUAAAUCAAAGCUAAAAUGAUAGACAUUUUAAUGUUACUUGUUCAUAAUAAACUCAGAAUAUUUAAUAAACUUUUGGUAAGUG
Long non-coding RNA from Trichosurus vulpecula (common brushtail), 1359 nucleotides. RefSeq lists it as uncharacterized. The record is from RefSeq and is a predicted model, not a curated record. NCBI's taxonomy places the organism in Eukaryota, Metazoa, Chordata, Mammalia, Diprotodontia, Phalangeridae. The transcript is spliced from 3 exons.